RNAcentral lists this ribosomal RNA (497 nucleotides) under uncultured bacterium. Its description in RNAcentral is "partial 16S ribosomal RNA". It matches the Rfam family "Bacterial small subunit ribosomal RNA", at positions 28 to 507 of the family's 1533-position model. The record is from RNAcentral.
GAUGAACGCUGGCGGCGUGCCUAAUACAUGCAAGUCGAGCGAACAGAUGAGGAGCUUGCUCCUCUGACGUUAGCGGCGGACGGGUGAGUAACACGUGGAUAACCUACCUAUAAGACUGGGAUAACUUCGGGAAACCGGAUCUAAUACCGGAUAAUAUAUUGAACCGCAUGGUUCAAUAGUGAAAGACGGUUUUGCUGUCACUUAUAGAUGGAUCCGCGCCGCAUUAGCUAGUUGGUAAGGUAACGGCUUACCAAGGCAACGAUGCGUAGCCGACCUGAGAGGGUGAUCGGCCACACUGGAACUGAGACACGGUCCAGACUCCUACGGGAGGCAGCAGUAGGGAAUCUUCCGCAAUGGGCGAAAGCCUGACGGAGCAACGCCGCGUGAGUGAUGAAGGUCUUCGGAUCGUAAAGCUCUGUUAUUAGGGAAGAACAAAUGUGUAAGUAACUAUGCACGUCUUGACGGUACCUAAUCAGAAAGCCACGGCUAACUACGUG